This is an RNA transcript of Musa acuminata AAA Group (dessert banana), 3013 nucleotides long. It is a transcript of the gene named UBP1-associated protein 2B-like, with no coding region annotated. NCBI's taxonomy places the organism in Eukaryota, Viridiplantae, Streptophyta, Magnoliopsida, Zingiberales, Musaceae. The transcript has 8 exons. The record is from RefSeq and is a predicted model, not a curated record.
GUCGCUUUAAAGCCUGAAAGGGGCAGCCGAACCCUAAGACAAUUCGCAUUCCGCGUCCAUGGCGACCAAGAAGCGGAAGGUCGACCAAGAGGACGAUCUCCUCCCCGCCGCCCCAAACCAUGCCGAUAAUCCCCUCCCCCAACUCCACCAGCAGCCCGUCGUCUACACCCAGGCGCCGGCCUCUGACGACGAGGACGGCGGCAGAGGCAGCGAAAGCGACCAGGAUGACGAUGACGACGACGUGGGGAAUCUCCUGGAGCCGAUCUCCAGGGACCGUCUCGUCGGCCUCCUCCGCUUCGCUGCAGCCUCCGACCCUGCAGCCCUCGCCGAGAUCCGCCGCGUCGCCGACCUCGACCCGGUCCACCGCAAGCUCUUUGUUCACGGCCUCGGCUGGGACACCACCGCUGAGGGCCUCCGCGCCGCCUUCGUCCGCUACGGCGACAUCGACGAUUGCCGCGUGAUCGUCGACAAGGCCAGCGGCCGAUCCAAGGGCUACGGCUUCGUUCUCUUCCGCCACCGAAGCUCCGCCCGCCGCGCUCUCCGCCGUCCCCAGAAGCUCAUCGACAACCGCAUGACCUCCUGCCAGCUCGCCUCCGCCGGCCCCUCCGCUUCCCUCCACCACCACAAUUCCGCGUCGCAACACCACCAAAACCCUAAUCCCAACCCUGGCCCUGGUCCCGCAUCGCAUCAGGACAACAUCUCGAGGAAGAUCUACGUGGGGAACGUCCAUUCCGACAUUGAUGGUGGCCGCCUCCUCGCCUUCUUCUCCCAGUACGGUGAGAUCGAGGAGGGCCCCAUCGGCUUUGAUCGACACACCGGGAAGCCAAAAGGGUAUGCCCUUUUUGUCUAUAAGACGGUGGAGGGCGCCCUGAGAGCCCUCGAGGAGCCGAGCAAGAAUUUUGAAGGCCACCUGCUCCACUGUCAGAAGGCCACUGAUAAUAAGAGUAAGGGUGCACUGGUUCAGAACACAGCAGCUUCUCCCAAUGUGGUGCCGAGCACAGGAACUCUCAAUGGGCCUGGUUAUGCAUUGCCACCAUCAGAUAUCGGGUUAGCACAACAAGCUGCGAUGUUGGGACAGGGGCUUCUUGGCCUGGGGGGAGGACAAGCCUUUGGACAGGGAAUGCAGCCAAAUGUUGCGUUGCUAACACUAUUAGCGACAGCUGGGCAGAAUCCAGCAGCUUUUGGAGUUACGCCGGCCAUGCUUGCUUCACUGAAUCCUGCUUUUGCUGCUGCAUUUGGUGCAACGGGGAGCCAGCAAGCUGUACCUCCUUCAGCCGUACCCCAGACAGCACAGAUGGCCAGCUAUGGAAUGGGAAGUGCUGGAUAUCAGGUGGCUUCAGGGUUUCAGGGGCAUACGGGUUUUCAAGGGUCGCCAGGGUUUCAAGGUCCUCCAGGUCUUCAGGGCGCUCAUCCAACUGCUCAACAAGGAGGAGCAGGAGGUGUUAGCUCUUACCCUACAGCGCCAGGUUCAAUGUCAAGGCCACCAACUGGACCAAUGGGUGGAUACGGUCCACUUUAGGUCGUUGAUUGAGGUUUGGUACAGCAUUGCCUUCUAGUUUCUUGCUGGCGUUUACAUUUUCAAAAAUCAAUAGGUUCGAGAAUGGGACGUGUCCUCAUUUGAUCUUUGACCAUGUACAAUGAUGAGGCUGUUGUGGAUGCGCAACAUGCUUUUCCUACAUCCUUAAGCUGUAAGGGGCUCGCUUUUAGUUCAUGAACAAAAAGUGAACAUAUCUUCAGAUGAAACGUCAGAACAUGUUCUUCAAAUGAAGAUAGAUUAGAAGGAUCAAAAGAAAAAUUCAGAAAUCAAAUCUCAAGGGAGAGAUCAAAAUGGUAGAGGCUAUGGACGAUCUGACGCUCGAGGAAGGGGACGAGGUCAAUCAAAUGAGAGUUAGAGGAACUCCAAUGAAGGGUUAGAAUUUGUUGAAUUCAAACGGUCCAUUUGAUCGUUUGAACCAGAUUUAAGGGUUUUUAAACCCUUUCUACCGCCUCAAUUCAUCCGUUGGAAAGAAUUGAGUUGGGCGACGAGACAACUUCUCAAUCGCAUUCAGCAACCUGCUUAGUCCAUAGAUGUGGCAGCGACGUGGACAACAGUGCCUCAACCGAUGACGGUGGCAACGUUAGAGAGUCAAUCCCCUACUCGAGGAAUCCUAUCAUUUUUUUUGGUGGUAGAACCAGAUAAUUCAAUAUCAACAGAAGGAUGGUCUGAAAUCUGUCACAAAGCUACUCCUCAAAGCUCAAAAAAGAUAUGUACCACUAUUUUUUCACAAUUUAGAAUAUUUUUUAUGAAAUUAUACUAAAUUUAUAUUUAUUUCCAACUUAAAAACCCUAAUCUAAUUUUUUUUAUUUUCAGAUAAUUUUAGAGCAAUUUUUGGUCUUUUUUUUGUGCCGUCGGCAUGCCCUGUCAUGGUGACACUUGGCACAUCGGCAUGGGGUGGCACUUACCGUGUUGUCGAUUGGCUGUCACAUCGGUUUGGACCACAGGUAACCCCUGGUGCAAGCCUCCUUAUCAAGCGAUCCAUGAGGCAAGCACUCCAUUGAUGACAGUUGUUUCCACAAUAUAAGCCGCCACCUGAUCUAUGUUACCACCAAUCCUUGAGCUGAAACCUCUUGCUUAAAGUCUUUUACAGAGAACUUGGCAUGUAAAAAAAGUUGUCCACUUGGGGAAUCAUUGCUUUGCAGCAGCUCAUUGUGUUUGAUCAACCAGGACACAAUAUAUCACCAUAUGAAGCCCAGCUGUCCAAAUGUCUUCCCCAACCUGAGCUGCAGCAAGUCUUAAAAGGAUCUGAAAAAUUGAACUGUCAUAUUUUAGGAGUCGAAGACAGAAGAAGCUACUGCAACUCAACUGACACGAAAAAAACUACAUUAGCCGUGCAAACCCAGGGAGCCUGGCUUACAGUUAGAUCUUGUGAGCACGACAUUUUGGUAAAGCAGUAAUAUGGAUCAUCUGUAGAACAACACUCCAGUUGGAUUUUUGUUAGAACUCAUUUCUGAUGCCAGGACAGCAUACGUAAAA